This 585-nucleotide ribosomal RNA is filed under the name uncultured bacterium. Its description in RNAcentral is "partial 16S ribosomal RNA". It matches the Rfam family "Bacterial small subunit ribosomal RNA", at positions 355 to 1375 of the family's 1533-position model. The record is from RNAcentral.
UGGGGAAUUUUGGACAAUGGGCGAAAGCCUGAUCCAGCAAUGCCGCGUGUGUGAAGAAGGCCUUCGGGUUGUAAAGCACUUUUGUCCGGAAAGAAAUCCUUGGCUCUAAUACAGUCGGGGGAUGACGGUACCGGAAGAAUAAGCACCGGCUAACUACGUGCCAGCAGCCGCGGUAAUACGUAGGGUGCAAGCGUUAAUCGGAAUUACUGGGCGUAAAGCGUGCGCAGGCGGUUUGCUAAGACCGAUGUGAAAUCCCCGGGCUCAACCUGGGAACUGCAUUGGUGACUGGCAGGCUAGAGUAUGGCAGAGGGGGGUAGAAUUCCACGUGUAGCAGUGAAAUGCGUAGAGAUGUGGAGGAAUACCGAUGGCGAAGGCAGCCCCCUGGCAAGUACUGACGCUCAUGCACGAAAGCGUGGGGAGCAAACAGGAUUAGAUACCCUGGUAGUCCACGCCCUAAAACGAUGUCAACUAGUUGUUGGGGAUUCAUUUCCUUAGUAACGUAGCUAACGCGUGAAGUUGACCGCCUGGGGAGUACGGUCGCAAGAUUAAAACUCAAAUGAAUUGACGGGGUCAUAGCUGUUUCCU